GACGAACGCUGGCGGCGUGCUUAACACAUGCAAGUCGAACGGAGCGAAUGAAAGCUUGCUUUUAUAAGCUUAGUGGCAAACGGGUGAGUAACACGUAGACAACCUGCCGACAGGAUGGGGACAACAUUCCGAAAGGAAUGCUAAUACCGAAUGGAGUGCAGGGGAGGCAUCUCCCCUGCAUGAAAGAUGGCCUCUUUUUAUGCUAUCACCUGUUGAUGGGUCUGCGUCUGAUUAGCUGGUAGGUGAGGUAACGGCUCACCUAGGCGACGAUCAGUAGCCGGUCUGAGAGGAUGAACGGCCACAUUGGGACUGAGACACGGCCCAGACUCCUACGGGAGGCAGCAGUGGGGAAUCUUCCGCAAUGGGCGCAAGCCUGACGGAGCAACGCCGCGUGAGUGAAGAAGGUCUUCGGAUCGUAAAGCUCUGUUGAUGGGGACGAACGUGCCUAAUGCGAAUAGUUUUAGGCAA
RNAcentral lists this ribosomal RNA (468 nucleotides) under Centipeda noxia. RNAcentral's name for it is "bacterial SSU rRNA". It matches the Rfam family "Bacterial small subunit ribosomal RNA", at positions 28 to 475 of the family's 1533-position model. Lineage: Bacteria; Bacillati; Bacillota; Negativicutes; Selenomonadales; Selenomonadaceae. The record is from RNAcentral.